UACGAAGGGGGCUAGCGUUGCUCGGAAUCACUGGGCGUAAAGCGUGCGCAGGCGGUUCGCAAAGUCUGAUGUGAAAGCCCCGGGCUCAACCUGGGAACUGCAUUGGAAACUAACGGGCUCGAGUGUGGCAGAGGGGGGUGGAAUUCCACGUGUAGCAGUGAAAUGCGUAGAGAUGUGGAGGAACACCGAUGGCGAAGGCAGCCCCCUGGGCUAACACUGACGCUCAUGCACGAAAGCGUGGGGAGCAAACAGG
RNAcentral lists this ribosomal RNA (253 nucleotides) under uncultured bacterium. RNAcentral's name for it is "partial 16S ribosomal RNA". It matches the Rfam family "Bacterial small subunit ribosomal RNA", at positions 524 to 776 of the family's 1533-position model. The record is from RNAcentral.